RNAcentral lists this long non-coding RNA (617 nucleotides) under Rosa chinensis. RNAcentral describes it as "sRNA RchiOBHm_Chr5g0066031". The record is from RNAcentral. Lineage: Eukaryota; Viridiplantae; Streptophyta; Magnoliopsida; Rosales; Rosaceae.
GCCUCUCUUUUCUUCUCUCGACCUAAUCAUUUCAGUCUCUCUCUUUCUUCUCUUCAAUAAUCUUCUCAGUUUUCUCUUCGUCAUCGAGAAUUCGAAAUCGUCAAGGAGAUUGCCAAGGACUGGAAGGGUCGUCAGUCCUCUUAGUUUUCUCUUCGUCUCUGGUCUCCGCCGCCACUCCAGUCAUCUAAGCCCUCAAAGAGCUAGAUUGCGACCGCAAGGUGUAGAACAUCAAGCACAGCGGCAAGUUGACAAUGAGGACCUGAGCGGGACCGUCGCUUUACCCGCACCUUUAUUCUUCUUCAUAUUCUGCAGAUCCAGAGCCUUUCUCUCAAGUGUUUGCUGCAGAUCCAGCCAUAUUGCUGAAGACAUCAAGCAGCCCCGGUUUUUGGAACUAUUCGUAACUGUUGUUUUGAAGCUGUGAGCGAGCUGCAGAAUUUGCUUUUGAUUUUAGAGUUUCUCUAGCCAGCUCUGCUUCUACCUGUUGCCGGUAACAAGGUGAAAAAUGAUGCAAGCACUAAUGGUUUUCGUUUUUGUUACUGGCCUUGCUAACUCUAUUGAUAGAUUAUGGUUCAGCAGCAAUGGGACAGAACCCAACCGAGGCUGAGCUCUAAGAUAUG